ACGGAGGAUGCGAGCGUUAUCCGGAUUUAUUGGGUUUAAAGGGUGCGUAGGCGGUUUGAUAAGUCAGUGGUGAAAAAUUUCAGCUUAACUGUAGAGGUGCCGUUGAUACUGUCAGUCUUGAGUAUGGUUGAUGUAGGUGGAAUGUGUAAUGUAGAGGUGAAAUGCUUAGAUAUUACACAGAAUACCGAUUGCGAAGGCAGCUUGCAGGGCCAUUACUGACGCUGAUGCACGAAAGCGUGGGGAUCGAACAG
RNAcentral lists this ribosomal RNA (251 nucleotides) under uncultured prokaryote. Its description in RNAcentral is "partial 16S rRNA". It matches the Rfam family "Bacterial small subunit ribosomal RNA", at positions 525 to 775 of the family's 1533-position model. The record is from RNAcentral.